GACGAACGCUGGCGGCGUGCCUAAUACAUGCAAGUCGAGCGGACUUAAAAAGCUUGCUUUUUAAGUUAGCGGCGGACGGGUGAGUAACACGUGGGCAACCUGCCUGUAAGACUGGGAUAACUUCGGGAAACCGGAGCUAAUACCGGAUAAUCCUUUUCUACUCAUGUAGAAAAGCUGAAAGACGGUUUACGCUGUCACUUACAGAUGGGCCCGCGGCGCAUUAGCUAGUUGGUGAGGUAACGGCUCACCAAGGCGACGAUGCGUAGCCGACCUGAGAGGGUGAUCGGCCACACUGGGACUGAGACACGGCCCAGACUCCUACGGGAGGCAGCAGUAGGGAAUCUUCCGCAAAGGACGAAAGUCUGACGGAGCAACGCCGCGUGAGUGAUGAAGGUUUUCGGAUCGUAAAACUCUGUUGUUAGGGAAGAACAAGUACGAGAGUAACUGCUCGUACCUUGACGGUACCUAACCAGAAAGCCACGGCUAACUACGUG
RNAcentral lists this ribosomal RNA (494 nucleotides) under uncultured bacterium. RNAcentral's name for it is "partial 16S ribosomal RNA". It matches the Rfam family "Bacterial small subunit ribosomal RNA", at positions 28 to 507 of the family's 1533-position model. The record is from RNAcentral.